This 2433-nucleotide long non-coding RNA is filed under the name Triticum aestivum (bread wheat). RNAcentral's name for it is "long non-coding RNA (TAES_LNC028056)". The record is from RNAcentral. Lineage: Eukaryota; Viridiplantae; Streptophyta; Magnoliopsida; Poales; Poaceae.
UCAAACCAAACACUGUUUAGGUACAUGUUUCCUUUACACUGUAGAACCAAACAAAAUGGGGUUUGCCCAGUCCGGUGCUGUUACAGUCCGUAAUCAGGUUCCAUUUACGUUUACGUUACCACUGAACGAAACAAACACCUCCAUAAUGUCACUAAAUAACUGUCAACUGUUCCUAGUUACAAUUCUGCUGCUACAAAUUAAUUUUUAACUAGCUACGUACCUCAUUAGUCGCCAUCAAAAGAGAUUGCCGCGCACGUUACGUUCUUCACAUAUUUAUAAUCUUUCUCAGGAAUUGUGUGUCCUUUAACUGCUAUGGACCUACAUAAUUAUUUUGUUAAUUGAUAAUACAUAAGUGUUGCCGCUCGCUGUCCAGCCAACAAAUCUGACUUGUUCAAACAUUUCGGCAUCUCUGUCGCAUUAUGCUCCACAUGAUUAGCGUCAACAGCAGUAACCAGCUGACACAUCCGCAAAGCAAAUGGAGGCUUCUGUAGGAUCCUUCUGUAUAUAAUAAAAUUAUGAGCCAAAGAAAAUAGGUCCUUCAACUAUUUCACUACUAGCUUUUUUUUAGAAAAAAAAGAUAACCCCCAGCCUCUGCAUGAGAAUGAUGCAUGCAUCCAUUACUUCACUACUAGCUGCCGCUAGAAAGCUAAUCCAUGCAUGAUUAGCAUACACUGCUAACAUUUUGAGUAUUCACAACUCAACAAUGUAUUUUCUUAAUGCGGCUAGUGCAGUACAAGGACAGAUAACUGGGAUUAUAUAACGCUCUCGAUGCGGCUAUAUCUCCCACAUGUCGAAGCACGAUUUAGAGGCAUAACCGCAUUGAAAGCAAUGUCGCAAGUGAGGUAAUCUUCACACAACCCAAGUAAUACAUAAGGGGAAAGAGAUACAUAGUUGGCUUACAAUCGCCACUUCACACAAUUACAUGAAUAAAGCAUUACAUCAUCCAGAUACAAUCAAGGUCCGACUACGGAACCCAAAAUAAAAGAAGAACCCCAAAUGCGACAAAGGUCCCCGAUCGACCCCAACUGGGCUCCACUACUGAUCAACUAGAACGAAACAACACAAAGGGCAAGAUCUUCAUCGAGCUCCUCCUUGAGCUUGGUUGCGUCACCUGCUCGGUAACAUAGGCACCUGCAAACUGGUUUGGAAGUAUCUGGUGAGCCACGAGGACUCAGCAAUCUCGCACCCGCGAGAUCAAGACUAUUUAAGCUUAUGGGUAAGGUAAAGGCAUGAGGUGGAGCUGCAGCAAGCGACUAGCAUAUAUGGUGGCUAACAUACGCAAAUGAGAGCGAGAAGAGAAGGCAAAGCACGGUCGAUAAAGGUAUGAUCAAGAAGUGAUCCUAUAGCAACCUAUGUCAAGCAUAACUCCAACACCGUGUUCACUUCCCGGACUCCGCCGGAAAGAGACCAUCACGGUUACACACACGGUUGAUGUAUUUAAUUCGGAUCUGGUGUCAAGUUAUCUACAAUCGGACAUUAACAAAUUCCCAUCUGCCACAUAACCGCGGGCACGGCUCUCGAAAGUUUAUACCCUGCAGGGGUGUCCCAACUUAGCCCAUGACAAGCUCUCGCGAUCAUCGAAGGAAUAGACCUUCACCCGAGACACUCCGAUCAGACUCGGUAUCCCGGUACAUCAAGACAUUUCGACAAUGGUAAAACAAGACCAGCAAGACCUCCCGGCGUGCCGACAUCCUGAUAGUAGCCGCGCGUAUCUCGUCUCAGGCCACGACCGGAUGAACACUACGUACGGCAACCGACGAUACCCCAAGUUGCCUAGGGGCGGCACCACAAGUGGCUCUGGUUUGGACCAACACUUAGACAAGCAUUGGCCCGGGGGGGCUAAAAUAAAGAUGACCCUUGGGUUAAUUACUCCCAAGGGAAAAGUAGGUGGUGGUGAGGCAAAUGGUAAAAGUCAAUGUUGGGCCUUGCUGGACAAGUUUUAUUCAAAGCGAACUGUCAGGGGGGUCCCAUAAAUCACCCGACCGCGUAAGGAACGCAAAAUCCGAGAACAUAACACCGGUAUGACGGAAACUAGGGCGGCAAGAGUGGAACAAAACACCAGGCAUAAGGCCGAGCCUUCCACCCUUUACCAAGUAUAUAGAUGCAUUAAUAAUAUAAGAGAUAUUGUGAUAUCCCAACCAAAAUCCUGUCCACCAUGGAGAAAUCUUCAACUUCACCUGCAACUAGCAACACUAUAAGAGGGGCUGAGCAAAGUGGUAACAUAGCCAAACAACGGUUUGCUAGGAAUGGUGUCAAAGGUUAGAGGUUCAUGGCAAUAUGGGAUGGCUGACAAGCAAAUGAUAGGCAUCGUAGCAUUGGCAUAGCAAAAGAGCGAGCAAACUAGCAUAGCAAAGAUAGUAGUGAUUUCGAGGGUAUGGUCAUCUUGCCUGAAAUCCCGCAAGGAAGAAGAACGAGUCCAUGAAGAAGACAAAC